CCAGGAAGACUUCCCAGUGGGAGAUUAGAAUCUUCAAAGACCUAUUGUUUUCCCGAAUGGCCCUUCCCAACUGGCCAUCCAGACUGAUUGCAUUUUAUCUAGUGGGCAUUCCCCAGAGAUGGGAAAGCACACGUC
Molecule: long non-coding RNA, 135 nt
Organism: Chelonia mydas (Green sea turtle)
Lineage: Eukaryota; Metazoa; Chordata; Testudines; Cheloniidae
Exons: 3
Source: RefSeq, a predicted model, not a curated record